AACAGGAUUCCCCUAGUAACUGCGAGUGAAGCGGGAAAAGCUCAAAUUUAAAAUCUGGCAGCCUUUGGUUGUCCGAGUUGUAAUCUAGAGAAGUGUUAUCCGCGUUGGACCGUGUACAAGUCUCCUGGAAUGGAGCGUCAUAGAGGGUGAGAAUCCCGUCUUUGACACGGACUGCCAAGGCUUUGUGAUGCGCUCUCAAAGAGUCGAGUUGUUUGGGAAUGCAGCUCAAAAUGGGUGGUAAAUUCCAUCUAAAGCUAAAUAUUGGCGAGAGACCGAUAGCGAACAAGUACCGUGAGGGAAAGAUGAAAAGAACUUUGGAAAGAGAGUUAAACAGUACGUGAAAUUGCUGAAAGGGAAACGCUUGAAGUCAGUCGCGUUGUCCAGGGAUCAACCUUGCUUUUGCUUGGUGCACUUUCUGGUUGACGGGUCAGCAUCAAUUUUGACUAUUGGAAAAAGAUUAGGGGAAUGUGGCAUCUUUGGAUGUGUUAUAGCCCUUGGUUGCAUACAAUGGUUGGGAUUGAGGAACUCAGCACGCCGCAAGGCCGGGUUUUUAACCACGUACGUGCUUAGGAUGCUGGCAUAAUGGCUUUAAUCGACCCGUCUUGAAACACGGACCAAGGAGUCUAACAUGCCUGCGAGUGUUUGGGUGGAAAACCCGAGCGCGUAAUGAAAGUGAAAGUUGAGAUCCCUGUCGUGGGGAGCAUCGACGCCCGGACCAGACCUUUUGUGACGGUUCCGCGGUAGAGCAUGUAUGUUGGGACCCGAAAGAUGGUGAACUAUGCCUGAAUAGGGUGAAGCCAGAGGAAACUCUGGUGGAGGCUCGUAGCGAUUCUGACGUGCAAAUCGAUCGUCAAAUUUGGGUAUAGGGGCGAAAGACUAAUCGAACCAUCUAGUAGCUGG
Molecule: ribosomal RNA, 900 nt
Filed under: Cortinarius sp. PDD 106572
Lineage: Eukaryota; Fungi; Basidiomycota; Agaricomycetes; Agaricales; Cortinariaceae
Description: partial large subunit ribosomal RNA
Rfam family: Eukaryotic large subunit ribosomal RNA
Source: RNAcentral